AUUGAACGCUGGCGGCAUGCUUUACACAUGCAAGUCGAACGGCAGCACGAGUGCUUGCACUUGGUGGCGAGUGGCGGACGGGUGAGUAAUACAUCGGAACGUAUCCUUAAGUGGGGGAUAACGCAUCGAAAGAUGUGCUAAUACCGCAUAUUCUCUGUGGAGGAAAGUAGGGGAUCGAAAGACCUUAUGCUUAUGGAGCGGCCGAUGCCUGAUUAGCUUGUUGGUGGGGUAAUGGCCUACCAAGGCGACGAUCAGUAGUUGGUCUGAGAGGACGACCAGCCACACUGGGACUGAGACACGGCCCAGACUCCUACGGGAGGCAGCAGUGGGGAAUUUUGGACAAUGGGCGAAAGCCUGAUCCAGCAAUGCCGCGUGAGUGAAGAAGGCCUCGGUUGUAAGCUCUUUAGUUAAGUAAGAAAGGUUAGUAGUACUAAUAAUACACAAUUAAUAG
Molecule: ribosomal RNA, 451 nt
Filed under: uncultured bacterium
Lineage: Bacteria
Description: bacterial SSU rRNA
Rfam family: Bacterial small subunit ribosomal RNA
Source: RNAcentral